This 418-nucleotide ribosomal RNA is filed under the name uncultured Pseudomonadota bacterium. RNAcentral describes it as "bacterial SSU rRNA". It matches the Rfam family "Bacterial small subunit ribosomal RNA", at positions 35 to 499 of the family's 1533-position model. The record is from RNAcentral. Lineage: Bacteria; Pseudomonadati; Pseudomonadota.
GCUGGCGGCAUGCUUCAGACAUGCAAGUCGAACGAGAUCUUCGGAUCUAGUGGCGCACGGGUGAGUAACGCGUGGGAACCUGCCUUUCAGAAUGGGAUAACAGUUGGAAACGACUGCUAAUACCGUAUACGCCCUCCGGGGGAAAGGUCAGCCGCUGAAAGAGGGGCCCGCGUCUGAUUAGCUUGUUGGUGGGGUAAAAGCCUACCAAGGCAACGAUCAGUAGCUGGUCUGAGAGGAUGAUCAGCCACACUGGGACUGAGACACGGCCCAGACUCCUACGGGAGGCAGCAGUCGGGAAUAUUGGACAAUGGAGGAAACUCUGAUCCAGCAAUGCCGCGUGUGUGAUGAAGGCCCUAGGGUUGUAAAGCACUUUCAACGGUGAAGAUGAUGACGGUAGCCGUAGAAGAAGCCCCGGCUA